CCCUCAGUAGGAGCUUAGGCUCCCAA
Molecule: small nuclear RNA, 26 nt
Filed under: Arabidopsis thaliana (thale cress)
Lineage: Eukaryota; Viridiplantae; Streptophyta; Magnoliopsida; Brassicales; Brassicaceae
Description: snRNA_04813
Source: RNAcentral